Molecule: long non-coding RNA, 2164 nt
Filed under: Anas platyrhynchos platyrhynchos (common mallard)
Lineage: Eukaryota; Metazoa; Chordata; Aves; Anseriformes; Anatidae
Description: lncRNA (ENSAPLG00000031175.1)
Source: RNAcentral
AAGCGGCACACUUCUCCAGUACUAAAAGUUUGUCUGGAGCUUUUGUGUGAGACGUUCAGGAUGCUGGAUUCCUUAGAGAUCCUGGGCACUCAUACGGGAAUAUAAAGCACAUCCAGACCAGGCUUGGGAUGGUGCCAAGUGUGCAGAUGAAGCAAAUCGUAAUUGGAAAUGUGCAGGUGGGAAGUCCCCUGUUCAGGCAGGACUCAGAAACUGGGAUGUGAGCAGGGAGGUGGGGGUGAGCUGGGUCUCUGCCCCUCUAAGCAAAGCCCUCUCUGCCCCAUGCUGCAGGUGCUGGAGUGACCACCCAGGACAUCUGCAGCUCUCCAGGAUUGCAGGAGCAUGGAGGUGGGUCCCAAAAAUGAACGUGUCCUGGGGAAGGAGAUGGGAAGAGAGAAGGGGAUUAUUCCCUCACAAUUCCCCCUGGAAACCCCAAGACAGCAGACUCCUCCAGCCUUGGCAUGCAGUUGGUUUUGCCACCUGGCAGUCACUAACUCUUGCCUGGGGAAUCCCUCUGCCUUCUCUCCAGGUAACGACCAGACUCCAGUCCUGUACCUCAACGCUUCCAGUGCCAAGGAGGGGGAAAUAAUUCUCUUUCAGUGUGCCAUUGAUUGGCAGUUUCCUGCUACACGAGUUGUCUUCUGCAAGAAUGGGCAGGAGGAGUUCAGCCUGAAAGCCCAGCAGGGCAAAGUCGUCUAUGCUCUGGUCCUGAACAUCACCUCCAGAAGUGCUGGGAUGUACAAGUGUGGGUACCAGCAGAGGAAAGAGAGCAACUGGGUGAGGAACUCUGCUCUCAGUGCUCCCCAGACCUUGUCUGUGGCAGGUGCAGGUGCUGGUGAGACCACCCAGGACAUCCACAGCUCCCCAGGUGAGGACAAGCAUGAGGGUGUGCCAGCUGCACGGGCACGUCCUGCUCCCUGCCUCUCCCCAUCACACCCUGCUGCCCUCACACCCUCUGUCCCCCGGCUCCCCAUGCCUGGCUCCCGCACACCCUCCCCACAGCCAUGGUGCUUGCAGUGGUGCCUCUCAUCCUCAUCCUCCUGUCUGCAGGCAGCUGGUUUUCCAUCAGGAAAGCUGAGGGAGUGGGGGAAGGCAAGGGAAAGGCUGAGGCCGUGGGGGUCCUGCUGCGGGGCUGGUGCAGUGGGAAAGAUGGUGGGGGGAACCUGAGGGUGAACGGCUGGGGCAGACGGUGCCUGGGAGUGAUGGCUGUGGGCAGCCCAGCUGGGGAGGCUGCUGAGGGAGCUGGGGAGCUUCAGCCUUCAUCCCCCAGCCCCGAGAUGGGAGCCAGGACUGGGCAGCCUGUUUGUGCCAGGUGAGAUAUGGCCCAAGGUUGGUUUGAACAGAAGGGAUGGGGAUACUGCAGAAGCUGGAGCUGUGUGCUGCAGCAGGUAGGGCAUGGCUGUGGUGUAGAUCCCCCAUGGGAGUGUUCCCUCUCCUCUAAGGCAGCCGCUAGAGAAAGAGCUGCUCCCAGACGUGCCCCUUUCCCUCCUGCAGCACCUCUGCAGCAGAGAUAGGGCUGCAUCGGGCACUGAAAUUGAGAACAAGGGCUGGGGUUGUCUAUGGACCCUGGGGUGUUCCACUACCGCUCUAGGUUGUCCCUCUAACCUUUACAAAUCUGUGUCUGGGAACAUACAUGGAAAGGCUUGCUCAUGUUCCCUGUGUGCUCAAGGAAGCAAGACAUGAGCUCAGCAUAUCCUCAGCAUCUGGGAUUGUUCUAAAAUGGAGUUCAAGGGACUCACGGCAUGUUCAUGUCUCCCACAGGAAGCAGCCCCUCACACAAGGCCCAGCUCCCUUCCAGAGGUGAGACAUUGCUCAUCAGCCUUCCCAGCACAGCCGUCCUCCAAGGCUUGCCUUGGCCACACUGUGUUCCUCCUCUCUCCCAGGGUCAGCCAUACCCCUGGAGGUCUGGAUCCUGCGCUCUGCCCUCAGCCUUCUCCUGCUGCUGUCUGCCCCCAUCAUCACCCUCCUCCUGGAAAGAUGCAGCCACAGAGCCCACGAGGCCAGGCAGCCUGGAGACGUCCCUGUCCCCAUGGAGCUCUGAUGUCCCCCUGAGCUCCAUGCUGUCCCCAGCCUGCUCCCCCAUGCUCAGAGCACGACCCCCACCGUGGCCAGGCUCCCGCUGCCAUUGGGUUCAAGGCAGCUGUGACAGCAUGCCCAAGGGAUGUGC